UACGUAGGGACCGAGCGUUGUCCGGAAUCAUUGGGCGUAAAGAGCGUGUAGGCGGCCACUUAAGUCCUGCGUGAAAUCUUGCGGCUCAACCGCAAGCGGUCGUGGGAAACUGGGUGGCUAGAGUGCGGGAGAGGAGAGUGGAAUUCCUAGUGUAGCGGUGGAAUGCGCAGAUAUCAGGAAGAACACCCGUGGCGAAGGCGGCUCUCUGGACCGCAACUGACGCUGAGGCGCGAAAGCGUGGGGAGCAAACAGG
This 253-nucleotide ribosomal RNA is filed under the name uncultured bacterium. Its description in RNAcentral is "partial 16S ribosomal RNA". It matches the Rfam family "Bacterial small subunit ribosomal RNA", at positions 524 to 776 of the family's 1533-position model. The record is from RNAcentral.